UACGUAGGUGGCAAGCGUUGUCCGGAUUUACUGGGCGUAAAGAGCGCGCAGGCGGUCGUUCAAGUCGCGUGUGAAAGCCCCCGGCUCAACUGGGGAGGGUCACGCGAUACUGAUCGACUCGAAGGCAGGAGAGGGUAGUGGAAUUCCCGGUGUAGUGGUGAAAUGCGUAGAUAUCGGGAGGAACACCAGUGGCGAAGGCGACUACCUGGCCUGUUUCUGACGCUGAGGAGCGAAAGCUAGGGGAGCAAACAGG
Molecule: ribosomal RNA, 253 nt
Filed under: uncultured bacterium
Lineage: Bacteria
Description: partial 16S ribosomal RNA
Rfam family: Bacterial small subunit ribosomal RNA
Source: RNAcentral